AGAACCCAGCAAAAUGGGGACCUCCGCAGUCAUCCUUGAAAUAUGUCUUUUAUUGAGUCAAGUUCUAACCACAGUAUCUUCAACAACGCAAACAGAAUCGACCACUGAAGACCGAACACAAAUCACAGAAACUGCUUUCUGGGAGACGCAGACAAUCAACUCUGUUUCUGAAUCGGAUCUUCCUGGAACACAUGGUAAGUGAUUUGAAAACAAUAUCCUGUGUUUGGUUUAAAAUUUAUUUUUCAUUCUAUGCAGACAUUUAUAUCUUACAAACAAGCCCUGCCUCACUGGACUUUAAUGAAUGGUAUGAGGGCUGCAUACGAAUAUGGUUUGUGUCCUUAAUGGAAAUACAAGGCAACAGAAUCUUCUUUCAGCCACAGCAUGAAGUAGACCAUGUGGUACUACAGUUAGGUUCUUCUAAAGUAGUAUUUUGCCUUUGCUUCAAACUUCAGGGCACAUCAGAAUCAACUAGCGUAUUUGAUUGAAGUCAGGUCUUUGGAAUUAACCUCCCUGCUCCCGGCUUGGAUUUAGAGGGUCUGGGUUGGGGCUCAAGAAUCUGCUUUUUUAUUUCUUUUUCGGCUGAACCCAUGGCAUAUGGAAGUUCUCAGGCCAGGGAUCAAAUCUGAGCUGCAGCUGCAACCUACACCACAGCUGUGGCAAUGCCAGAUCCUUAACCUACUGUGCCAGGCUACAUAUGGAACCCAUGCCAUCUCAGAGACAAUGCUGGGUUCUUAACUUGCUGUGCCUCAGUGGGAAUUCCAGGAAUCUACAUUUUUAUAUAACUUAAAAUAAAGAUAGUCUACAGACCACACCUUGAGCAACCAUGCUGCCGGGUCCAGGACUCAAGUUUUCAUGUUUGCAGUGUAAUUAUGGAAAGAUGACUUUGCCAAGAAAUUCCAAAGCAAGGACAGAAGCUAUGUGUGUAUAUUUUAAGUGCUACCUUUUUUUUAAACUUAUUUUUCUUAAUGUCUAUAUUUUGCUUGAUGCCAAGUAAAUUUAGAUUUUUGGUAUUUUCCCAAAUGGUUGUUGGCUACAUCCUAAGUCAGAGUUGUUGAUGCAGAGACUUUUCCAUAGGUGUGUUACUAGCAUUGAACCUUCAAACAUCUUUCAAAAUGGCCUCGAUAUCUGUGCCACCUCAUUUGGCAAGAAGCAGUCCUACUAGGAUCCUCCUAAAUAGGAGAAGCUCCAGUGGGGGCUUUCUGUUGCUUCAGGGGAAUAUGAUUCCUGCCUUCAGGAACUUAGGGAUUAAUGGCGAGAAAGGCAUUAAUCAGCUGAGCACACAGUUACAAUUACAGCCGUAUAAGAGGUCUGUGGCAGCGGAGAUGUGACCAAGCCAUCAGUGAGAGGAGCCCUGAGAAAGUCACAGGUGAAUGGAGGCCAGGGCUGGGGUAGGAACCAGCCAGCCAGAAGCAGAAGGAAGAGUUUUUCUGUUUUCCACAGUUGCAGUUGUCAGGACCUUGAGGGGGGUGGUACAGACUUCCACUGACUGCAGCUACCCACGCCCCCCAGGUCAGCCAUCCUAACACGGCAUCUAGCCAGCACAGGGCCCCUGGGUCCCAUUCCCCACACUUUCUGAAGUUCUAGAGAAAAAAACCUUCUGAUCAACAAAGUUUGGAAAUGUCCCCUGCCUUUGGCGAUAGAACACGGUCUGUCUUUUGGGACAAGCAGGGAAAGAGCAGAGAGGGCGGCCGCUGCAGUCAGACUCGGUUCUUAUUUGCCUUCGAAGUCCUUGUCUAAAUCGGCUUGGGGGUGGUGCAGGCAGAGCUGUAUCCACGGGAAAAUCUCUGGGAUGCUCAUCCUUGGUCACGUCUUAAACCGACGCAUUAAAAAUGAGCAGUCUUGGAGCUCCCUUGUGGCACAGUAAGGAUCCAGCAUUGUCACUGCAGCAGCUCAGGUUGCUGCUGUGACCAGGGCUUGAUUCCUGGCCUGGGAACUUCNUUGUCCUUUUUUUAGGGCCGCACCUGCAUCAUAUGAAAAUUCCCAGGCUAGGGGUUGAAUCGGAGCUGCAGCUGCCGGCCUCCACCACAGCCACAGCAACACAGGAUUAGAGCCAUGUCUGCGACCCACACCACAGCACAUGGCAACCCCAGAUCCUUGAACCCACUGAGGAAGGCCAGGAUCCAACUAGUCGGGUUUGCUACCGCUGAGCCAUGACGGACGGAACCCAUGUCCCCAGAACUUCUGUCUGCUGCAGGCACGGAGCCACCCCUCCCGAAAAACAAAACAAACAAGAAAUGAGCCAUCUGACACCAUCUCCGCUUGGUGGCACCCUGUCCCUCUGUACCAUACCUUUAGGCUGGCCAUUUGCUUAGGAACAGUGAGACCCCAUGAAGAGGGCUCAGACAAGGCUCCCAUCUACAAAAAUCUUUAAACCCCACUGAGACGAAUGCAGUCUGCAUGGCAGAAAAGACUGUACCUGAGAGGGUGAAAUAAGCUGGAUGCUUGUGACAGAGGAAAGCCACAAUGAUCUUCUUAUCAAAAGUUGCUUAGGCUAGCAUCGUGCUGCAAAAUCAACGGAAAAACAGUGGUCAUGUCUCCUGGGUCACUUCCCAUUGAAAACUCAGUUUGGGUUGGUUUAUGGAAAGUGGGUUAGCACAGACCGCUGUCCUUGCAAGAACCACACAAAGUGAGUUGAUGGCAGGCAGUGGCUGUGACAAAAGGCAGCACUGGAUGACAGCCAAAAGCAUGGACAGUGGAGUUCCCUGGCGGCUCGGCAGGUUAGGGAUCCGGUGUUGUCAAGGCUGUGUCUGAGUCACUGCUGUGGCACGGUUCGAUCUCUGGCUUGGGAACUUCUGUAUGCCACAGGUAUGCCCCCACCCCCCAAAAAAGGCGAGAAAAAAAACAUGGACAGAAGAUGGAAUCUGUGUGUCCUUGGGGUACCUUUUUGCUUGUUUUUGGCUUUUAAGGGCUGCACCCACAGCAGACGGAGGUUCCCAGGCUAGGAGUCAAUUCGGAGCUGUAGCUGCUGGCCUACACCAGAGCCACAGCAACGCCAGAUCCAAGCUGUGUCUGCAACCUACACCACAGCUCACAGCAACACCAGAUCCUUUAACCCAGUGAUGGAGGCCAAGGAUCGAACAUACAUCCUCAUGGAUGGUAGUCAGAUUUGUUUCCACCGAGCCACGACGGGAACGCCUGGGCUACUGUUCUGAUGUUUGUGCCUCAGUGUCCUGGUCUGUAAGUGGGAGAGAAAAUUUAUUUCACUAUUUCAUCUUCCUUUUAGGCAAUUCUGCCAUUCUUCCAUUUUUUAAAUUAUAUAUCUGUUACAAAUAAUUGUUAAUAAUUGAUGAGCAGUGGUGAACUAAUCCUUUGAAUGAGGAAAUACCAAAACAUUUGAAGAUAUGGGAAAAAUUAGAUCACUGAAGAGUCCAUAAUACAUCUUAGAUUUAUAAAAGGAUCCAAUGAAUCCAUAAAGUGCCUAUAAGAUAGAAGAAGUUUUAUUCUAUUUUUUUUUAUUAGUAGUAGACUACUCUCUAACCAAGCUAACUGGCUACAAUUAUUCUAUUUUUAAAAUGAAUAAAUAUUCUUUUUGUGCUUUGGAAGACCUCUAGAAACAUAUGUCGUGAAACAUCCAUCCUCACAAAUACAGUUGAUCUUCUCAAAAAAGUAACUCAAAAACUAAAAUUGAGGAAUUCCCAUUGUGUCUCAGCAGUAGCAAAUCCAACUAGUAUUCAGUAUUUAUGAGGGCUCAGGUUUGAUCCCUGGCCCUGCUCAGUGGGUUAAGGAUCCAGUGUUGCCAUGAGCUGUGGCAUCAUAGGUCACAGAUGCAACUUGGAUCUGGCGUUGCUGUGGUUGUGGUGCAGGCCAGCAGCCACAGCUCUGAUUGGAUCCUUCGCCUGGAAAUUUCCGUAUGUCUUGGGUAUGGCUCUAAAGACAAAAAAAACCCACCAAAAAACCCCACAAAAAAACCAAAAUUGAGUUUAAAGGACUAUGAGGGUACGCUGAGGGUUGACCUGAAGCGAGGAGGGCAUGGAGUAAGGCCUCACUGAUGAUAAAAUUCCAGGUUCUCUAAAUUUCAGUUUUCUUCAAGGUACAGUGGAAAUUUCUCAGGAUACACAUCGUAGGGAACAGGAGCGCUGACACCAAAGUAUUUCCUUAUUUAGGGGGCCCCCCAGUGGCCAUUCCCAGUGCUGACUUUCCUCAAAUUUCAGACUGGGGGGUGGAUUCAUCCACCGCCCAGAUUUCUUGACGACCAGUUUAACAACCAGUUUAGAUUACAUCCUGCAAUUAUAACUAGCAUUAGGAGCCUAGUAAAGAGACAUGCAAUUUUAUUAUAUCUAAAAUUACUUCCAACCUACUUGCGUUAAACUUCUAGAGCAAAACCCCACUUUCAGCAAGAACAUAUAAACCCAAGAUGGAACCACAGCGCCCCCUGGCAGGAUUGCAAGGUGAACCUCAAGCCAGUUUCUGUGACUGCCCAUCAUUUACCAAGAAUGGAAUUGCCUAAAAUGAAUUUGGUUUCUUUCUAGACCAGUGGAUUCCACAGACUACAGACAAUGAUAAGAUAGGGUUUUUUUUUUUCCUGUCUUCCCGUGGUUUUGCUCACUGGCUGGGUAGCUGCUGUUGGCUGCUGGAGGCUGAGUGCCGUCUUGGCCACAGACCAAGCACUUGUCCUUUAACGCAGGGAUGGAGAGGGAGGGGUCGAGGGGUGCAGAGACCUGAGCAUGUCCCCGACACGCACUCAGCCAAUCCCCUCUGUCAUUCUUCUUCCUUCUUCUCUCUGCCUCUUGGUCCUUCAUUGGAUGAGAUCAGCUUCAACUCGGUGUCAGGAGAGAAAGAUGAAAAAAAAAAAAUCAGUGCCUCUUCUCACCAUUAAUGCCAGUUAUAUGAAAGAUAGUUAACAUCUUCCAAGCCCUUGCUUUGUACCCUGGGCAAGAUUAUUUUCACAUAUGAAAUGAGUUAAUAAAUUUAAAAAGCAUUUAAAAUGCUAGUGGCCCAUAAUAAGUGCUCGACUAAUGCACAUGGUAAGUAGUGCUGUUAUUGUGAAAUCUUCCCAACAACACUUUGAGGUAAGUUGCAUUAUUACGCCCCUUGUGCAGAUGGGAAACUUCGGCGCAGAUAGGCCAAUCGCCAAGUUCUAUGUCUGGGGUCACAUGGGGGGUACGUGGCCGGGCAGAGAUUUGAACCCGGAACAGAUGCCUUUGCCUCUGUUGACAAUUUUUACUAAAAGUCUUAUCUUUCCUUCUCUGCGGUGAGAGUAUGCACCCUUUGCGUGCUCACUUAGGACAGCCGACCCCCCCAUUGGGUCUUGGCUGUGUUGUCCUUUCAGAGUGUGCCCUGGGAGUCCAGAAGUGGCCUGGGAGGCACUUGAGGAGCAGAUUUUUGGUGACUGACCCCCAGUAGGGGGCAGACUGAGGCUGGGAGCCUGAGAUCUCUUUGGCAGGGACCGCUUACAGGAGGGACGGGAGGCAGCAGGAAGGGCUAAGGAAGCCCAGAAUGCACCUUGGAAACACCCCCCAGACGGUCGGACUGGUCUUCCCUCCCGCUCCCUGAGCCCGCUCCUGACAACAACCAUAGACGCCACCUGUGCCCUUCUCUCCCAUCGCAUUCCAACUCUCUGGUCACUCCUUGACCAAACAUUCUCAUGAUCUCAGACUAACCACUGACGAGGCUCCUGCUGUCAGGAUGCUGGGCGGUCAGCAGGCUGGGCUGGAUCCCUCAGAACCUGCUGCCUGUUUUCCUUGUGUUAUCUGUGUGGGUGAUGUAGCAGGAUCAUGCCAGGCAGGAGCCUGGUGCCACUGACUCUCUGGUCAUGGUCAGCUUCAUGGUGGGAAUCAAGGCUCUCGAAGCCCCUCACAGGGGGCUCAAAAGGUAGGUUGAGGCCCAUUCUUGGACAAGCCCAUCUUGAACUGGUGGGAAUGGAGAAGACACUGAGGCAUUUUGAACAGGAAAGUGACUGAACAUACCUGUACUCUAUGAAGAUAAGACUUGAGUCAGGGAGUUCCCGCCGUGGCUCAGUGAAAACGAAUCUGACUAGUAUCCAUGAGGACACAGAUUCAAUCCCAGGCCUUGCUCGGCGGGUGAAAGAUCCAGCAUUGCCGUGAGCUCUGGUGUAGGUUGCAGACACGGCUCAGAUCCUGUGUUGCUGUGGCUGUGGUGUAGGCUGGCAGCUGUAGCUCAGAUUCAACCCCUAGCCUGGGAGCAUCCAUAUACUGCAGGUGCAGCUCUAAAACAAACAAACAAAUAAACAACAACAACAACAAC
Molecule: long non-coding RNA, 6204 nt
Filed under: Sus scrofa (pig)
Lineage: Eukaryota; Metazoa; Chordata; Mammalia; Artiodactyla; Suidae
Description: lncRNA (ENSSSCG00035029283.1)
Source: RNAcentral